AGUGGGGAAUAUUGGACAAUGGGGGGAACCCUGAUCCAGCCAUGCCGCGUGUGUGAAGAAGGCCUUAUGGUUGUAAAGCACUUUAAGCGAGGAGGAGGCUCUUCUAGUUAAUACCUAGGAUGAGUGGACGUUACUCGCAGAAUAAGCACCGGCUAACUCUGUGCCAGCAGCCGCGGUAAUACAGAGGGUGCGAGCGUUAAUCGGAUUUACUGGGCGUAAAGCGUGCGUAGGCGGCUUUUUAAGUCGGAUGUGAAAUCCCCGAGCUUAACUUGGGAAUUGCAUUCGAUACUGGGAAGCUAGAGUAUGGGAGAGGAUGGUAGAAUUCCAGGUGUAGCGGUGAAAUGCGUAGAGAUCUGGAGGAAUACCGAUGGCGAAGGCAGCCAUCUGGCCUAAUACUGACGCUGAGGUACGAAAGCAUGGGGAGCAAA
This 428-nucleotide ribosomal RNA is filed under the name uncultured Acinetobacter sp. RNAcentral's name for it is "bacterial SSU rRNA". It matches the Rfam family "Bacterial small subunit ribosomal RNA", at positions 353 to 772 of the family's 1533-position model. The record is from RNAcentral. Lineage: Bacteria; Pseudomonadati; Pseudomonadota; Gammaproteobacteria; Moraxellales; Moraxellaceae.